Molecule: ribosomal RNA, 230 nt
Filed under: uncultured bacterium
Lineage: Bacteria
Description: partial 16S ribosomal RNA
Rfam family: Bacterial small subunit ribosomal RNA
Source: RNAcentral
AAGCGUGCGCAGGCGGUUUUGUAAGACUGUCGUGAAAUCCCCGGGCUCAACCUGGGAAUGGCGAUGGUGACUGCAAGGCUAGAGUUUGGCAGAGGGGGGUAGGAAUUCCACGUGUAGCAGUGAAAUGCGUAGAUAUGUGGAGGAACACCGAUGGCGAAGGCAGCCCCCUGGGUCAAAACUGACGCUCAUGCACGAAAGCGUGGGGAGCAAACAGGAUUAGAUACCCCUGU